RNAcentral lists this long non-coding RNA (473 nucleotides) under Pongo abelii (Sumatran orangutan). RNAcentral's name for it is "lincRNA". Lineage: Eukaryota; Metazoa; Chordata; Mammalia; Primates; Hominidae. The record is from RNAcentral.
UGUGAAGAAUGCUGCUGUGAACAGGGGAGUACCCCUGCCCGUUUGGGUCCCUGUACCGUUUGGGAGCUCUUGGAACAGAACCAGACUUCUGGCCGGGGCUCAGUCAGUGCUUGCAAGAUGUUUGUUGGCAGCAGGAUGUGCCCGGAGAGCAUCAUUAUAAACUGCCGAUCUACUGUUUCUUUGUCAAAAGGGAGGCGAUAACGUCAGGGUCAUGAGAAAUGUUUGCAGACGGAGCGAAUGCCUUGAAAGUGCUGCGACCAGGUGCUGACACCCGCAGGUCUGGCUGCUCGAAGUGGGCCAACACGGAAGACACACGGACUUUCCCUCCAUUCCCCGAAACUCCCCUCCCUGGCUCGUCAGCUGCAUAAAAACCCUCUCUUUAUCUCUUUGUCAAGGGGAUGUAAGAAAUCUUGCUGUCUUGUCUUCUUGCUUUGGCCAAAUGGAAUAAACCUUUCUUUGUGUCCAGACACCUG